Physeter macrocephalus (sperm whale) is the source of this 1752-nucleotide long non-coding RNA. RefSeq lists it as uncharacterized. NCBI's taxonomy places the organism in Eukaryota, Metazoa, Chordata, Mammalia, Artiodactyla, Physeteridae. The record is from RefSeq and is a predicted model, not a curated record. The transcript has 4 exons.
CAACUUAAGAAACCUGUGAUCUUAUGAGUAAAAAUAGGGCUUAGUAUUUGGAAGUGAGUCUAGAAAAGCCUUCAGAAAAACUGCUGUGGUGAUUGAACUGAAACAACACAGGCAGAGACACUGAAGGUGCCAGGGAGGGGUACUCCAGAGAGACGAGGAAGCCAGAGAGAAGACCACGCCAGGAUUCUGCAGAGGCAGCUUCAGCCACCUCUCAACUCCUCUUGGCCCCAGGAGAAGGAAGCUCGCAGGCAUUACCGUUGAAGAUGAAGACUUCCUGCCAUUGGCUCCCAGCAGAGCCAGUGCCUGACACAGCAUUUUUUGAAUUGAUAUUGGCCAGCACUAGAAGCCCUGAUAUCAGAAGAUGGAGUUUCAAGAGGAGACACGCAAAGUCUAGAGUGAGGAUUGGAAAAGCAAAAGAACGAUUUCCAGGGGAAUAACUGAAGCUUGGCAAGAGCCUUACUGAAAAUGUCUCUGGCUUAUGGCUAUAAAUUUAAGAAGAAAGAAAGAAAAGAAAAAAGAAAUCCAAAUCCCAUGUCUGCACAGGAAAAGUAUUUCUCUUUGCUGGAAUGUCUCAGAAGGAUUGGACAUAAUUAGGAAUAAAAAAAUUUUCACUGUCUUUUCAACUUCCUACCUAAUUACUAAUUAGCUUGACUCUGUGCUAUCAGAAGAAAGAUGUGAAUAAUGUUUAGAAGGCUUCAGAAAAGGACAAUGUUAUGACAACAGAGAAAACCAACUCCACUGACAGAGAAUGAUGCUUGAUUUCUGAGGUAUAUUCAUGCGAAUGUGCCUUACAAAUAUUUAUCGUAUAUCAUGUAAGAGCAGCUAAAAUUGGCCAUGGUAAUCAGGGUCUCUGUAUUUCAGCACUCUCAUUUGUAAAGUAGACCAAGAAUACCUGCCUGCAGGCACAGUCAUGUCUUCAUAGUGAAGCAGCAGUGCCCUAAAAGGGCUAAGGCAGUCCUGAGGGCUAGGAGGUGGGGGGAAGGGGGCCUGAUGGAUCCAUUGAACUGAUACUAAAUAAUCACUCUCUGGGACAGUCAGGUCAGGCACCAGGUCAGUUUUAAUUAACAAUAAUCUACUGAGCCUGGCAUGCUGUCCUAGACGCCAUGGAGAAUACGAAGGUGUCACCCAAUCCAAGGCUUCAUAGAGAAAGUCCAGAGCAAAUCCAUGUGGCAUGUCACCAGAAUUAAUACAUCAGCUACUGGUAGGUCUGCAGUUGCGUUGAACCACACCACCUCCAGUCACUCAGCCAAAGAUGGUGUCAGUCAUUCAGAUGUCUGAUCCAUGAGAAACACUGGGGUAUGUUUUUAGGUAAGUGAGUUCCAACCAGAAAAGAGAAGACAGUAUCAAUCAAAUUAGAUAGAUGUUUUGCUAACUUAGUCCUGAGCAUGUAUACAGCAUUUCAGAGUUUCUACACCACUUUCUUGCAUGUGAUGUAUCCCCUCCUCACAGGAAACCAAUAAGAGAGACAGGCACAAUUUGAAGACAGACUAAAAAUCAAAAAACUCAGAUGAGUUCUGCAAAGUCACGGGUGGGACAAAAUAUCUUCAUGGGUGUCAGGCCUGGGACUCGCACUGCAGGGUCAUCCUGAUGCACCAAACAACAGCCACACGAAAGCAAGUCCUUGCUUAUCAACAACCCCUACUCCCCCUCCCUUUCUUCUCUUCCUCCUCUUCCCCCAUCACUGGAUUAUCUGGUAAGAGCACAUGAGAGAGUUUUACUAUGGCUCAAAAUGCAUUGGCAAUUCCUACUACU